RNAcentral lists this ribosomal RNA (406 nucleotides) under uncultured bacterium. RNAcentral's name for it is "partial 16S ribosomal RNA". It matches the Rfam family "Bacterial small subunit ribosomal RNA", at positions 30 to 526 of the family's 1533-position model. The record is from RNAcentral.
AUUGAACGCUGGCGGCAGGCCUAACACAUGCAAGUCGAACGAGUGGCGGACGGGUGAGUAAUGUCUGGGAAACUGCCUGAUGGAGGGGGAUAACUACUGGAAACGGUAGCUAAUACCGCAUACCAUCGGAUUUGCCCAGAUGGGAUUAGCUAGUAGGUGGGGUAAAGGCUCACCUAGGCGACGAUCCCUAGCUGGUCUGAGAGGAUGACAAGCAAAACUGGAACUGAGACACGGUCCAGACUCCUACGGGAGGGAGCAGUGGGGAAUAUUGCACAAUGGGCGCAAGCUUGAUGCAGACAGGCCGGGUGUAUGAAGAAGGCCUUCGGGUUGUAAAGUACUUUCAGCGGGGAGGCGUUACCCGCAGAAGAAGCACCGGCUAACUCCGUGCCAGCAGCCGCGGUAAUUC